This is a long non-coding RNA of Pipistrellus kuhlii (Kuhl's pipistrelle), 1637 nucleotides long. RefSeq lists it as uncharacterized. The transcript has 2 exons. Lineage: Eukaryota; Metazoa; Chordata; Mammalia; Chiroptera; Vespertilionidae. The record is from RefSeq and is a predicted model, not a curated record.
GGGAAGGGUGGGGACUUCCACAAGACGGGGUUCAGAGACACUGUCACUUACAGGUUCCAGCCGGAGGACAGGUACUCCACGGGGCCCAGGCCCGCCACCUUCAGGAACAGCUCCACGCCGUAGACUGUGGACAGGAGCGGCAGUGGCGGUUGGCAGUGACCUCCCAUACCGGGCCUGGCUCGGCCUCCAAACCCCCCCCCCCCCCCCCCCCCCGGCUGCGCGCCCUCUGGACAGCCACGCCCCACGGGAGAGUGUGGGCUCCCUCCCUCCUUCCCUCCCCUUCUCUGGGCACAGCCCAGCCACCCUCUGUCCACCCAGCAGGUACUGCCUGCACCUCUUCUGUGCCAGGCGUUGUGCUGGGUGCUGGGCAUGCAAGUGACUGGCACAGUGCAGUGCCCACCCUACCGAGCUGAGUGCAGACGGGAGGAGCUGUGAGUGGGUGAUGACAGUGUGCUCAGGGUUAUAAGAGGAGGGGGGAGUGUCAGGUGGAGGAACACGGUGCCGAAGCAAGAAAGGGCAUGGGGCACUCAGGAGCAGGGCGCUGUUCAGGAGGGCUGAGGGACCCUGCCCGGCCAGGGGAUGUGAGCACGCCGGGAUGGAGAUUUGACGGAGGACAGAGGAGCCAUGGGGGAGUCUGAAACAGGUGGGAUGGCAUCAGACCCAGUUUCUGCUUCCUGAAGCCGCCCUGUUUCAGAGCCACGGUCCUAACCCAGUGACCGGCCUCCCACCAGAGUUUAAGACAAAGCCCUGCCGGAGACUUACUGGUGAGGAAGACGAGGGAGCUCCAGGGCACAUGCUUGGAGAAGAAGUUCCCACCUGCAGGACAGAGAGGCCGCAGCUCAGGAGGAGGCCGGGCAGGCCCAGGGGCGGGGCGGGCCCCCAGCCGGGCUCACCUCUCAGCAUGAAGGUCUCCGCGAGGACCCAGACCCCGUUGACCGCCACCACCAGGUCUGCAACCGACAGAGAAGCACAGGCCUGCAGGUCACGCCUGGUUCAUUUCCGGGCCGCUCCCCACCCCAUGGGACAGAGAUACCAGUUAAGAUGUUCCAGUAAAACCUAUUAUUCUAAGUCAGUAUCAACGAUGGACAAUCCACCGAGGGUUUGAUUAUUGAAAUAAUUUGCUUUUCCUUCAAGAUGUCUGAUUUUUAAAAUGACUGCACAGUUAGCAAAAUACAUGUGGACCUGGCCUUCCACUGAGCAUUCCCGCUGCUAGGAACCCAUCCUAAUGAGACACCAGCAAACACACAGCACCAGGUACCCAGAAAGCUAUUCACGCGAGAACUACUUGCAAUGGCAAAACAUCAGAACCCACCUAGCAAUCAGGAGGUACCGGUGGAAUGAACUAUGAUGCGGUCAUGACAAGGAGCCUACCGCCCCAGCCAGGUGGCUCAGUCGGUUGGAGCAUCAUCCCGUGCAUAGGAAGGUUGUGGGUUCGAACCCCAGUUGGCGUACAAGGGGCAACCAAUCAAUGUUUUUCACAUCGAUGUUUUUCUCUCCCCUUCCAUUCUCUCUAUCAAUAAGAAAACAUAUCAUUGGUGAAAAUUAAAAAAAAAAAAAAAAAUCCUAUCAACUAUAAAAAAAUAUGGGGGACAUCUCUAUAUAUUACUGUGGCGUGGUCUCCAGGAUUUAUUGCUAAC